RNAcentral lists this long non-coding RNA (680 nucleotides) under Monodelphis domestica (gray short-tailed opossum). RNAcentral's name for it is "lncRNA (ENSMODG00000038288.1)". Lineage: Eukaryota; Metazoa; Chordata; Mammalia; Didelphimorphia; Didelphidae. The record is from RNAcentral.
GGUAUUUUUUGGUAGGCAAUAAUCUUCACUUAAUAGUCUGGCUGGUGAGGGAAGCUGUUUAGCAUCUUUCCACCUCUAGGCUUCCUGCCAGUGUGACAGAAACCUACCAGGGGCAGUGAGAGAUACAGUUCCACUCUGAUGCCUCUGAAAAGAAUUAGAGAACAAAAACAGGGGAUGCUUCGAGAGUCAGGCAGCUGAUGGCCUUCUUGGUUUAUUGGAAACUUGGACCAAAAUGUUCAGAUGCUUAAUGGGCAUGAAAAGAUAUUCCCAUGAAAGUUCUCUGGAGAAUUCUGCCUCAGAAGAUCCAUCUAGAGAUGUGGUUUUUCCCCCCUCUUAUUUCUUUGGUUUUGAAAGAGAGUACUUCAGCUUUUGUGACAGACUCUCUGUCUUUUUCAGAUCUACAAGCGAUUGUGCUGGCGAGGAGGACAAGGGGAGGAGAACUUUCCUGCUAGGGAGCCUUAAAUGGAAUUUGGUCUAUACAGCCUUCCAUCAAAUUGCAGGUUAAAUAUGUUCAAGUUUCUUUAACCUUCAGGAGAUCUGUCUUACAGAGCUGGCUUGCAGUUUCCAAUAGGUCAAAGCUUUAAGAAUUUAAGGACUGGAAACUAUGCUGAAAGAAUCAGUACUGAAGCCCCCAUCUAUCUAGGUGCUGUGGUGGAAUAUUUAGCAAUAGUCACCGAAGC